GCCCCCAUAGUUCAACGGAUAGAACAGGCCCGUCCUAAGGGCAAGAUGUGUGUUCAAUUCAUGCUGGGGGCA
This 72-nucleotide transfer RNA is filed under the name Candidatus Magasanikiibacteriota bacterium. Its description in RNAcentral is "tRNA-Arg". It matches the Rfam family "tRNA". From Rfam's summary of the family: Transfer RNA (tRNA) molecules are approximately 80 nucleotides in length. Their secondary structure includes four short double-helical elements and three loops (D, anti-codon, and T loops). Lineage: Bacteria; Candidatus Magasanikiibacteriota. RNAcentral also lists the same sequence under 1 other name. The record is from RNAcentral.